UGGGUGCCUGUGGCCGGCCAGAGAGAGGAAAGCGUGGGUCCAGGGUGCCUGCUGCCAGCUGGAAGAGGGAAUUCUGGGUCCUGAGUGUGGGCUGAGGCAGAGGUGGUUAGGAUUGAGCAGGCUG
Long non-coding RNA from Pipistrellus kuhlii (Kuhl's pipistrelle), 124 nucleotides. RefSeq lists it as uncharacterized. The transcript has 3 exons. The record is from RefSeq and is a predicted model, not a curated record. NCBI's taxonomy places the organism in Eukaryota, Metazoa, Chordata, Mammalia, Chiroptera, Vespertilionidae.